CAAUAGCGUAUAUUAAAGUUGUUGCAGUUAAAAAGCUCGUAGUUGGAUUUGUGGCGUACGGUGUGUUCCGGGCACUUGUUGUCUGAGUAACCUGCUGUUGCCAUCCUUGGGUGGAACCUGUGUGGCAUUAGGUUGUCGUGCAGGGGAUGCCCAUCAUUUACUGUGAAAAAAUUAGAGUGUUCAAAGCAGGCUUAUGCCGUUGAAUAUAUUAGCAUGGAAUAAUGAGAUAGGACUUUUUUGCUAUUUUGUUGGUUUGCGCAAAGAGGUAAUGGUCAAUAGGGACAGUUGGGGGUAUUCGUAUUCCAUUGUCAGAGGUGAAAUUCUUGGAUUUUUGGAAGACGAACUACUGCGAAAGCAUUUACCAAGGAUGUUUUCAUUAA
This 380-nucleotide ribosomal RNA is filed under the name uncultured eukaryote. RNAcentral's name for it is "partial 18S ribosomal RNA". It matches the Rfam family "Eukaryotic small subunit ribosomal RNA", at positions 592 to 976 of the family's 1831-position model. The record is from RNAcentral.